Molecule: long non-coding RNA, 1585 nt
Organism: Gossypium arboreum
Lineage: Eukaryota; Viridiplantae; Streptophyta; Magnoliopsida; Malvales; Malvaceae
Exons: 4
Source: RefSeq, a predicted model, not a curated record
UGGUUUAAUGCGCCAACCCAUUAAACCACAAGACAAAUAAAGAACUAUCGGACCCUUCAAUACACUGCCCGAGAUUUGAAAAGGAAACCAAUAGAUAAGGAAAGGUUACCAUCUGAAAAAAAAAAAAAAAAACCAAACACAAAAUUAUGUCCUUUCUUUCCUCCUAAACCGAAGAAAACUAGUCGAAAACCUCUCUCUGAUCCAAGCUUCAAAACGCUGGUGCAUGAACAAACUAUUGAUAUCAAAAGAGAGAGAAGAGCUUGGGAAAACAUUUGGAGGUCCCUUCCGGCAGCCCGUUCCACCAUCAACGACGCUUCCUCAAUCUAGUACCACAAGAUCAAGAAUUGACAACCUUCUCCAGCCAGUGUGUGAGCGGCGGUGCUAGCUUGUCUUUCAGCAAAACAAAAGGUGACUCUUGCAAAUAUCUCCAAUUUUGCCUUAAUAUCUCGAGCAAUCGGGCUAAGGAUAGACUUGUCUGGUGUUUAAGUAAAUUUCUUAAUGACAGUAAGUGAAUCGCCCUCCACUGUACCGAUCGAAAUCCUAGCUCAACCGCAAAGAUGAUGGCUUGCUCACAUGCCUGUGCUUCGGCAAUGAAGGCGUCAGCAACACCAUAGUAGGGAUAAGUACAUAUACAACCAUAAUAAGAUCUGAAAAAUUUCUAGCCAUAAUAAUUUUUAUUAUUUCAAACUUCAUUUAUCAAUUCUUUUAAUUUAAAAUUUUAGAAUAGUGUAAUAGCAAUUAUCUGCUUUAAAAAUUAAACAUUUAUAUUCAAAUAAAUGAUUGAAUAAAUUAAAAAUUUUCUGACUCAAAUAAGAAAAAUAACAUUCUUUCAAGCAUUUUAAUAAAAUAUUAUAAAUAAAAAAAUAUGUUAGUCAUUAUGUUGUAUUAAAAUCCUCAAUUAUGGACACAUACGAGUAAUGUAUAACGUUAUUAUAAAGUGUGAUACAAAAUUAAGUAAUAAAUUAUGUUAUAAGUGUCAUAGGUAUUAAAUUGUCAUGGAAAUAAUAUGUAGAUACUAUAAGUUGUAUUUAUAAUUUGAUGAGGGCUAAAUUAUAAAUAUCUAAAAUUGAUUAAAUAAUCAGUUAUUUUAAAACGAGGUAGUGAUCCCCAAGAAAUAGAUAAAUAACAAGUAUUAUUUCUUUUCUAUCCCCAUGAGAGGGAAUAUACUAAGAGAGAAAACUAUUUUCUUGGAAGAUCAAAACCUUCUGGAUAAUCUCCAACAAUGUAUUCAGAUUUUUAUGGUUCUAAUAAGUGGUAUCCGAACCUCGUCAUGUUGAAUCAUUGGGAAUUGAUUUCGCCAAGUUAGCUCGGGGCCCGGAAGACGUCGGAGGCAUGAUCACACUAUCAACUGAACAUUUGGGUAUAGCUAGCCUUAUUAUUUUGAGUACGACUUGUAUAGGGACUUGACAUUUUGUUAUGUGUCAUAUUGAUCAGCCAAUGUGUUGGCUUAUGAUGUUAUUAUGAUCAUUUUGUAUAUGGCCAUGAGAGGUAGCUCAUAUUAAUUAUUUGAGUUGUAACCCUAAUUAUAGAUUCAUGCAUGAAAAUGUGCUUGUGCUUUAAUGUGGUUAUAGUUGUUUAUGGUUAA